AAUAAACGCUGGCGGCAUGCCUUACACAUGCAAGUCGAACGGCAGCGCGGGAGCAAUCCUGGCGGCGAGUGGCGAACGGGUGAGUAAUAUAUCGGAACGUGCCCAGUAGUGGGGGAUAGCCCGGCGAAAGCCGGAUUAAUACCGCAUGAGACCUGAGGGUGAAAGCGGGGGAUCGCAAGACCUCGCGCUAUUGGAGCGGCCGAUAUCAGAUUAGCUAGUUGGUGGGGUAAAGGCCUACCAAGGCAACGAUCUGUAGUUGGUCUGAGAGGACGACCAGCCACACUGGGACUGAGACACGGCCCAGACUCCUACGGGAGGCAGCAGUGGGGAAUUUUGGACAAUGGGCGCAAGCCUGAUCCAGCAAUGCCGCGUGCAGGAAGAAGGCCUCGG
Molecule: ribosomal RNA, 390 nt
Filed under: uncultured bacterium
Lineage: Bacteria
Description: bacterial SSU rRNA
Rfam family: Bacterial small subunit ribosomal RNA
Source: RNAcentral